RNAcentral lists this ribosomal RNA (403 nucleotides) under uncultured bacterium. RNAcentral's name for it is "bacterial SSU rRNA". It matches the Rfam family "Bacterial small subunit ribosomal RNA", at positions 355 to 775 of the family's 1533-position model. The record is from RNAcentral.
UAAGGAAUAUUCCACAAUGGACGAAAGUCUGAUGGAGCGACGCCGCGUGAGCGAAGAAGCCCUUCGGGGUGUAAAGCUCUUUUCAGGGGGAUGACAAAGACAGUACCCCUGGAAUAAGCCUCGGCUAACUACGUGCCAGCAGCCGCGGUAAUACGUAGGAGGCAAGCGUUGUCCGGAUUUACUGGGCGUAAAGAGCGUGUAGGCGGUUGAGCAAGUCUGCUGUAAAAUCUCCAGGCUCAACUUGGAGGGGUCAGUGGAAACUGCUUAACUUGAGGACGGUAGAGGGGGGUGGAAUUCCCGGUGUAGUGGUGAAAUGCGUAGAGAUCGGGAGGAACACCAGCGGCGAAGGCGGCCCCCUGGGCCGCUCCUGACGCUGAGACGCGAAGGCCAGGGUAGCGAACGG